ACAGAAAAAUAACAAAUAUAACGUGAAAACGUUUAAGUAUAUUAGGGUCAGACAAUCCAUUUGUCAAGUUCAUAGUUAAAUUGUACAGUUAUGUAGGUUCCUUCAAGUCAUGUGCUCAGGUGUCGUAAGAAAUUUAGGUCACCCGUCAAGAGGUCCCUCCUCGCAUUCUUUCCCCUCUCCUCACACUGUGUGCUUCCGGCAUUCUGCAUGGUUAAACUAAAGCAAGGUCAAAGGAGCCUUUGCGGAGGGGAGAAGCGCACUUUGAAGAGCUGAAAUUUCCUAUCCCCAGUGUUUGGCUAUGAGAGGCUGAUCAGCUGACAGAGGAACAGAUUGCCGAAUUCAAAGAAGCAUUCUCACUGUUUGACAAGGAUGGAGAUGGUACAAUCACCACA
Long non-coding RNA from Orbicella faveolata, 392 nucleotides. Lineage: Eukaryota; Metazoa; Cnidaria; Anthozoa; Scleractinia; Merulinidae. The record is from RefSeq and is a predicted model, not a curated record.